This 403-nucleotide ribosomal RNA is filed under the name uncultured bacterium. RNAcentral describes it as "partial 16S ribosomal RNA". It matches the Rfam family "Bacterial small subunit ribosomal RNA", at positions 30 to 526 of the family's 1533-position model. The record is from RNAcentral.
AUUGAACGCUGGCGGCAGGCCUAACACAUGCAAGUCGAGCGAGCGGCGGACGGGUGAGUAAUGUAUGGGGACUGCCCGAUAGAGGGGGAUAACUACUGGAAACGGUGGCUAAUACCGCAUACUAUCGGAUAACCCAUAUGGGAUUAGCUAGUAGGUGGGGUAAAGGCUCACCUAGGCGACGAUCUCUAGCUGGUCUGAGAGGAUGACGCGCCACCCUGGGACUGGAACACGGCCCCAACCCCGACGGCGGCAGCAGUUGGGAAUAUUUCACCAUGGGCGCAAGCCUUAUGCCGCCAUGCCGAGAGUAGUAAUGAGGCCUUAGGGUUGUAAAGUACUUUCAGCGGGGAGGCGUUACCCGCAGAAGAAGCACCGGCUAACUCCGUGCCAGCCGCCGCGGUAAUAC